Molecule: small nuclear RNA, 23 nt
Filed under: Arabidopsis thaliana (thale cress)
Lineage: Eukaryota; Viridiplantae; Streptophyta; Magnoliopsida; Brassicales; Brassicaceae
Description: snRNA_01155
Source: RNAcentral
CUCCGAAUAAAUACGUGCGGUUC